UACGGAGGAGGCAAGCGUUAUCCGGAAUUAUUGGGCGUAAAGAGUCCGUAGGUGGGUAACCAAGUCAGUUGUUAAAUAGUGAAGCUUAACUUCAUAGAGGCGACUGAAACUGGUUAUCUAGAGUGUGGUAGGGGUAGAGGGAAUUUCCAGUGUAGCGGUGAAAUGCGUAGAUAUUGGAAAGAACACCGGUGGCGAAAGCGCUCUACUGGGCCUGCACUGACACUGAGGGACGAAAGCUAGGGGAGCGAAAGGG
Molecule: ribosomal RNA, 253 nt
Filed under: uncultured cyanobacterium
Lineage: Bacteria; Bacillati; Cyanobacteriota
Description: partial 16S ribosomal RNA
Rfam family: Bacterial small subunit ribosomal RNA
Source: RNAcentral